AGGAUGGAAGAGGAGAGAGUAGCGGGAGAGAGAGAGUGAAGGUUGCGACGGCGCAAUACCAUCCGAGUAGGGGCAGAGUGAGAAGUGUUGGAUGAGAGCAAGAGGGAAAAGGAUACAAGGUAGUGGUCGGAGAUUUGGAGGGGAGUUGCAAUGAGAUUAGUGGAAGAACAGCAUCUAGUAAAGAUGAGGUCAAGCGUAUUGCCUGCCUUGUGAGUAGGGGGGGAAGUUGAAUUGAAUUGCCUCAAGGAGAAAGCUACUAAAAGACUGUAGCUUAAUUAGGCCAGGCCAAGAAAGGCAUAUUGAUCCUGUGGAGUCAGAGACUGCUAUGGAAUGCACACCAAGUCCAUAUGACUUAGACACAUCAAACGAAAUCAGAGAAAGUGACAAUCAUGAAGGCAACAAUGAUGAUGAUGGGGGAAAUCAGUGAAGGGGACAUUCAUGGAGCUGAUGAUGAUGAUGAUGAUGGGGAAAUCAGUAAAAGGGAUAUUUAUGGGGACUCAGACAAUGACACAGUGAUGGAAUCAACUCUCUCCUCUUGGCUUGUUGUGAAUAAUAUAAAGCAAGAUUCUGAAAAAACAUUGAGUUGAUGAUCUGCCAUGUAGUGCACGUACACUGUUAAAAACUGAUAAACAUGUGCAGGUCGAAAUUAAGUCUGGCAUUGACUAUGUGUUUUUGGGAGUAGAGAACAUGCUGAAGAAGAACAUAGACAAAUGUCCCAGUUGCUUCACAGAUGAGACUGAGUAUUUGAAUGUGUCUCUGAAUGUUGAUGGACUAUCCCUAUUCAAGAUCUCAAAAACCAUAACCUGGUCUGUGUUGUGUGGUGUCAACACCCCACCGAUAGUUUUCCCAGUUGCACUGUCGUGGAAAUUCUAAACCGAAUGACCUCAACUUUCUUAAUGAUACCAUACAAGAGAUGAAGAAGCUUCAAGAUGAGGGAAUGGUGUAUAGGGGCAGGCAAGUAAACAUCCUUCUGACAUAUGUAGUGUGUGAUGCACCAGCCAGAGCCAUGGUAAAAGGAAUCAAACAAUUCUCAAGAUACUACGGAUGUGAGAGAUGCAUCUGGCUUGGGUGAGUUACAUAUCAGGAUGUAGAAGACCUAGAGGCACGCACUGACAAGUCAUUUAGAGAGCACACUCAACAAGAACAUCACCAGCAGGUGUCUCCAUUCAUAGAGUUGAACAUUGACAUGAUGAAGGCCUUCCCAGUAGACUAUAUGCAUCAGGCUUGUCUGGAUGUCACAAAGAAGUUGAUUCUGACUUGGAUGCAUGGAAAGAGAGAAACAAGAAUGUCUAGGGGUCAUAAUGCAAAUAUCAGUGCCAGCAUGUUGGAGCUGAAACAGGCAGUGCCCAACAUCUUUGCUCGUCAGCCUAGUGAGUCUAGAUGAAAUCGAAAGAUGGAAAGCCACUGAAUUCCGCCAAUUCAUGCUGUACAUGGGCAAACUUGUACUUAAGACCAGACCUAUAUAAAAAAAUUGACCUUCUCAGUGGCUAUGUAUAUACUUGUCUGUCCAGACCUCAUUGAGCAGCACUAUGACUAUGCAAAACAACUGCUAGCCUAUUUUGUCAAGAAGGCCAGGGAGCUGUAAAGCCCAGAGUUUGUUGUUUACAAUGUGCAUAGCAUGCUCCACAUUGCAGAUGAUGCAAAACAACUUCGUGGACUGGAAAACUGUUCUGGCUUUCCGUUUGAAAACUACAAUCAGAAAUUGUAAAGAAGAGAAGAUGGUCCGCUCUGGACACCAUCCCUUGGCACAGAUUGUCAAACGUCUCUCUGAGACUGUUGCUGUGGUUAAAAGACCUGUGUUUGCCAAAGAACGACAAAGUGAGAAAUGCAGGAGGCCUGACAAUGUGUUCCAGACAGGGAACAAGUUCUGCGAGGUGUGCGAGGAAGUGUCAAAGGGCGGUGGGUUCCUCAGCAGGGUGUACCAUGACCUUGUGUCAUUAUCUUCUGAUUGGUGUGUACCAUGGUAGGACAGGGAAUACCUCAAUAAGAGUCCUUCCACUGGCAAGCCUAAACAAACCAGCUGUAAUGGUCAAGGAGAGUGAGGACUCUGCUAUAUUUCUGAGAAUUCUUCACAAGAUGUAACAAGUAAGUGUAUUACUGAAAUAACAGCAUAAUGAGAUCUUCAGAGUAGCCUAGUCAACAGAGUUCUCUGAUGUGUCACUCAACCGCUUAAUUAAUAAAGGCAUGUUUCAUUUUGCAGAUGCCAGUGUAUGCAGUGGUGGAGUUCCACAAUGAAACUCCAGUCACGGUGGCAGCAGUGGUAAAGCCAUGGAUCGUCACCACUAAGAAGAUGCUAACUUCUUUAGAAUCUUUGAAAUAGAACCAUAACAUUAAACUAAUUCAUCCUUGGUCUGUACUGUGCUGUUAAUGCCCGUGGAUGACAAUCAAGUACUUUUUCCUUUCAUGGAUUUCUGUGCUACUGGCCAUCAACAGGCUACAGCAAGAAGCUGAAGAGAGGUGACGCUCCUGACAAGGAGAGUUGGCCUAAAUAUAUUGUCCGUGUCAUCCCUCACACAACAACUGGUAAAAGUGUCCAUAAUCAACCAAAAGUCACUGUCACUGUUACAUUUCUGUUCUCCCAAAUGUAAUCCUACUUGUCCAAAUUUCUCAGAUGACUUCUCCAAAGCACGCCGCUUUGAAAAAAAAGCUGAAAAAAUCUCCUAUGUGGAAAGCACUAGUGAAAUGGAGGCAUGACCACACACUAUCCCAGCUCGUUACCAGACUGGUUGUUCUGAUGACAGCAGCAUUAAGUUGAUUAUACACUGAGAAUAUUAGCAUAUGUGCAGAUCCGAUGCUUAUGACAUGUUUUCUGUUUUGUAUCUAGCAACUGAUAUAGAUGAGUUCUUUAUGGAACCCUGCUUUCCCAAGAAAACUUUACGUUUACCUCUACCACCCAGAUAUCAGGACACAAAUUGUCUUAAAUGGAAAAAGUAUUUAGGAUUUCACAACCAACAGAAUUUUUGCCCAAUGCAAUGCCAAAUAAAUCAUGCUUCUUAUGAUUUGUAAUUACCGAAAAAUAUCCCGCAAAAAGGAAAGGCCUCCAAAGUGUCCAGUGCACCACAAACUGUGUCAUGCAGUGAGUAUUGAGAGGAACCAAUAUUUUGGACAGUGACAUACACUAUAUGGACACCCUACUAAUUAGUUCAGGUGUUUUAGCCACACCCAUUGCUAACAGGUGCAUAAAAUCCAGCUAAGCCUUUAGUUCCAGUGAAGGGUCAUCUUAAUGCUACAGGAUACAAAGACAUUUUAGACAAUUGGGUGCUUUCAACUUUGUGGAAACAGUUUGGGGAAGGCCCUUUCCUGUUCCAGCAUGACUGUGCCCCACAGACACACUCGAAAAUCUUGUGGAAAGCCUACCCAGAAGAGUAGUGGCUGUUAUAGCUGCAAAGGGGGGCCAACUCCAUAUUAAUGCCCAUGGUUUUGGAAUGGGAUGUCCAACAAGCUCUUAUAGGUGUGAUGGUCAGGUGUCCAGAUACAUUUGGCCAUAUAGUGUAUAUAGAAUAUAUUCAAAUUAAGCUGACAAUCAAAUCUGAGGUGGAGAAGAACAGAUCUAAAAUGUGUGUCACUGUCCAUUUAUCUUUGGUGUUGACUGUAAUGGCAUAUUGAAUUCACAUACCUGAGUUUUAUCUAAUCUUCUACAACUUCCUACAGACCUACCAGCCAAAACAACAAAUGGUGGAGUAGCGCUACCUGCAGCAUCCAGUCUCCAACAAAAGGAAUCUGCAUCCCCAAGUGCUGUGCAGUCUCAGGAGAUAAUUGCAAUGAUAUCUUCCUUCUAGACAAAGGUACUGAUGAAGCUAGGCAAUAUAAUUGAGAACCAGCAAGAGCAACUGAGGCUCCUUAAUGGUACAAGGCGAUCAACCACAGCUGAGGACCUCGACAUUCUUCCAUCACCGUCAGACUCUGCGGCUGACCUGAAGCUACUGUGUAAGCAGAGCUCAACAGAGGAGAAUUUUCGCAAACAAUUGACAUCCUAUCUCAGGAUGUAUGGGUCCAACAAAGUGGGGAAGACUGUGAGGAGGACGAUAAGGUGCAUUGGGACCAACAGACUGUGAUCCCAGUUCAGUAUAAAAGGGAGAAAAAAGUUGCCAGUCAAAGACCGGCCUCUUUUAAGAGUCAUGACAAAGGCCUGCAGCAAAUGUCACAAAGAGGCCAAAAUCACUGAGUGUGAGACCGAAAUAGGUGAAUGCCUGAAGCAUGCAACAAUUAAGGAGGGAUGCAACAAAUACAGAUCAAAGGAAGGACAGACCAAAGCACCUGAAAUAAUGGAGAGAGACAGAAGCUUAAGCACGAGCCCAAGAGACAGAAGCUCAAGAGACAGAAGCCCAAGAAACAGAAGUCCAAGAGACAGAAUUUUUUUAUAUAUAGUUGAAAUUUCCUGUCUUUAUUAGUUGAAGCAAUUGUAGCAUAUUACACCUAUUACCAACGUUAACCAACGUUUGUUAAACAUUGGCGAACGUUGAUGGAUGUUUGAAAUCCAACCAAACCAACGUUGGUGGAUGUUCAUUAACGUUUAAAAAGGAACUAAUAGCCAAUGUUCGCCAAACGUUAAUGACACCUAUGACAAAUGUUUACAAAACGUAAUCUGUCUGCUACACUUUAAUCAAAACCUAACAUUUAUCUGAAUGCAUUCAACAUUUUUAGACAACUAAUCCAACACCUAAAAUUUUUUUUUAUAAAAUGGAUUUUUGCUACCUGGGGUAGCCUUUUAGUAGCCUACUGCUAUGCAUGUUGACUCCCUACGCUGUCAUUCCCCUGUAAUUCUCUCUACUGAGGUAAAGACAGUUUCAAGUUGGAUAUUUGACGGAUAUUCACGCUUUCAAACCUCAAUAGCUUUCAAACCAGUAGAAAGAGGAGGAAGGGAAGCGCUACUAAGGUACACAAUAGUAAAUGUUGGUAGACAGAAGGUGCUCUUCAAACCACUUGAGCAACAGACUCCAAAUAAGAGUCAUGAUGUUGGAAAAAUUGCGCACAACAUUGCACUGGUCUUAUUUUCACGAUUUGGACAUUAAUUCACUUUACAAAGCUAAUAAACAUGUGGAAAUGUGA
Non-coding RNA from Salmo salar (Atlantic salmon), 5049 nucleotides. Lineage: Eukaryota; Metazoa; Chordata; Actinopteri; Salmoniformes; Salmonidae. The record is from RefSeq and is a predicted model, not a curated record.